GAUGAACGCUGGCGGCGUGCUUAACACAUGCAAGUCGAACGAUGAAGCCCAGCUUGCUGGGCGGAUUAGUGGCGAACGGGUGAGUAACACGUGAGUAACCUGCCCUUGACUCUGGGAUAAGCCCGGGAAACUGGGUCUAAUACCGGAUAGGAGCGCCUGUCGCAUGACGGGUGCUGGAAAGAUCUUUCGGUCAUGGAUGGACUCGCGGCCUAUCAGCUUGUUGGUGAGGUAACGGCUCACCAAGGCGACGACGGGUAGCCGGCCUGAGAGGGUGACCAGCCACACUGGGACUGAGACACGGCCCAGACCCCUACGGGAGGCAGCAGUGGGGAAUAUUGCACAAUGGGCGAAAGCCUGAUGCAGCGACGCCGCGUGAGGGAUGACGGCCUUCGGGUUGUAAACCUCUUUCAGCAGGGAAGAAGCGAAAGUGACGGUACCUGCAGAAGAAGCACCGGCUAACUACGUG
This 466-nucleotide ribosomal RNA is filed under the name uncultured bacterium. Its description in RNAcentral is "partial 16S ribosomal RNA". It matches the Rfam family "Bacterial small subunit ribosomal RNA", at positions 28 to 507 of the family's 1533-position model. The record is from RNAcentral.